CAGCAGUGGGGAAUUUUGGACAAUGGGCGAAAGCCUGAUCCAGCAAUGCCGCGUGAGUGAAGAAGGCCUUCGGGUUGUAAAGCUCUUUUGUCAGGGAAGAAACGGUUUGGGCUAAUACCCUGAGCUAAUGACGGUACCUGAAGAAUAAGCACCGGCUAACUACGUGCCAGCAGCCGCGGUAAUACGUAGGGUGCAAGCGUUAAUCGGAAUUACUGGGCGUAAAGCGUGCGCAGGCGGUUUUGUAAGUCUGACGUGAAAUCCCCGGGCUCAACCUGGGAAUUGCGUUGGAGACUGCAAGGCUAGAAUCUGGCAGAGGGGGGUAGAAUUCCACGUGUAGCAGUGAAAUGCGUAGAGAUGUGGAGGAACACCGAUGGCGAAGGCAGCCCCCUGGGUCAAGAUUGACGCUCAUGCACGAAAGCGUGGGGAGCAAACAGGAUUAGAUACCCUGGUAGUCCACGCCCUAAACGAUGUCUACUAGUUGUCGGGUUUUAAUUAACUUGGUAACGCAGCUAACGCGUGAAGUAGA
This 526-nucleotide ribosomal RNA is filed under the name uncultured Massilia sp. RNAcentral describes it as "bacterial SSU rRNA". It matches the Rfam family "Bacterial small subunit ribosomal RNA", at positions 349 to 868 of the family's 1533-position model. Lineage: Bacteria; Pseudomonadati; Pseudomonadota; Betaproteobacteria; Burkholderiales; Oxalobacteraceae. The record is from RNAcentral.